GCGGGACAGGCAUCCGCACCCUCACACGUUGGGCGGGGCGGCCGAACAGAGCGCAGCCACGGUUGCCGCCGGGUCGAGCAAUGGGCCGAGCAGCAAGCGCCGCCGGCCGGCUGGGCUUCCCCGCUGCAGCUGCACAAGCCCGAACUUGUCUGCUGCUGCUGCCCGCGGAGGGGGCGGGGCGGUGACGUCACGGGGCGGUGCUCCGCUCUGCCUGGGCGGCACGCGCGUUCUGCUCUUUCGGACUGGAGUCGCAGUGAGUUUUUCGCCGCUGCCGAGCCUGCGCGCUGCCCGCCCUCCCGCCUGGUCCCCGACGGAGCCUCCGCGCUGCCCAGCGACCCCCAGCCGCCCCGGAGGGUUCAUGCAGCUGCAGUAAGUGCGGCGGCGGCGGCGGCUCUGCUCGAAGGCGCUGAGGGAGGGACUGGGAGGCGGGCAGGGCGCACGUGGCCGCGGCGGAACCAGCCCGCCCGCCCGCCCGCGCGGGCGGGGGUCCCUCUAGCGCGGAGCCGCCGAGCCUGGCGCCGCUCGGUUUGCUUAGGAGCGCGGAGCCCGCGGCGAGGCCAGCCUGGUCCGUCCCGGCGCCGAUGCCGCCCGGCCGUCGGGCUGCGCCUCCGCCUCGCCCUGACUGCCCCUCGCUCGCUCGCCUGCCGCCAGAUCUUCCCGAGCGCCAUGGCCAGACCGCUGCAGGACGGGAGCCGCGUCGCGCCGACAACCGCUGGGUCCGGGAUCCCAACCUUCCCUGUGGGGGGGACGGUGGCGCUGCCGCCCCCCGCCCGCCGCCCCCCGCCCACCUUGUCAUCCCGGGUGAACGGCGUCUACCGUUGCGGGCAGAGGCAGGAGUUCCCCGAGAGCCGCUCCAGCGACCUGCGUGGCAGCGGGCAGCCCAGGAGCUGGGAUGAGGCUGCGACGGAGCUCAACGGACACCUGCGCCGCAGUGUGCCCAGCCUGGAGCAAGCAAUUGGGGCCCGCCUUCGGCAGAUGGGAGACCAGUUCCACCACGAGCACGUGCAAAGGGAGCCGCGGCAACAGGGCGCCCUCUGGGGCCACCUCUACCACUUCGUCUUCCAGCUGCUGGGCAUUCUGAACAAUCUCCCCGUGGAGGGGAUUGUGGCUGCCGCCGCCUUCCGCCCAAACUAGCUGCUAGACGGAGCUUGUCCUUCUGCUGGCCAGGAGGGAACGGGACUCGAGCAGAGGCGCCCAGCACGGGGCCUGCUCCCUUGGACCCACUGCAUGAGGAGGGACGGGCACGGCUGCCUUCGUCCACAGCCCAGCAGUGCCUUAAGGCAGGAGAGCUGCUUCCUGGGCUGGGAGCACCUUAGCACUAUGUGAAUAUUCCAAAGGGAGCCUGUACAGGGGGGAGAGGGGAA
Molecule: long non-coding RNA, 1364 nt
Filed under: Salvator merianae (Argentine black and white tegu)
Lineage: Eukaryota; Metazoa; Chordata; Lepidosauria; Squamata; Teiidae
Description: lncRNA (ENSSMRG00000002777.1)
Source: RNAcentral